AUUCCACUGGAAUUCUAUGCUGGCAACCACCUUCUCACCUUUUGGAGAGCACCUGUCCAGCAGGUGCAGAGAGAGGCACGUGUAUGAUGACAUUGUCUGAAACCUUACAUCAGCCUUGCCCGAGGUCAAAUGCAUUUCAGUGAAUAAACUCAUGGAUUUCUUUCUUGAUUUAAGCUAAUUUGAGUUGAAUUUCUGUCACUCAAGACUGAAAGUGUCCUGACCCUUAUGUGUAGGAGUUAGGAGUGAGAAAUCAUUUAACAGAAUUCUUGAGAGCAUGCUCUGUUUACAUCUUCACUCAUUUCAAGCCCAGGCUACUUAUGAUGCAUGCCUGGCCCUUAGGCACUCUCAGCAUAGUUGUUUAUGAAGGAUUUUGGACAAUAAUUGACUUUUUGGGUGUCUAAGGUUUGAGUUUCUUUUAUCAACUAGUGCUGGAGGAGCCAAAUAGUCAAGACUGGGGAAAGGAGAGGAGGAAGAAGACCAUGAAGUAGGGAACCUACUGAUCCUAGGAGCCAUCCAGGAACUGCAACUAUUGUGUGCCUAAAUACAGGAAGGGCCAGCGACUGAGGAUGUGCCUUCUGGAUGCCUGCCACGUUUCCUGCUCAUUCACCCAAGCCUGCCGAGAUAUCAGUUUACCCAGAGAGUCAACGUACUUUUUCCACAGUGAGACCAAUUGAGAACACAAGUAUCCCAAUUUCCAGGUCUCACCUACCAAAUCAUAAUAAAUAUCUAUAUAUUUGGAGAUAGAGAUGAAAACCAUGUGGCUGUAUCCAGUUGGAGUGAAAAAUAUGAACUAUGAAGAAAGAAGGAGUUCUGCUUCUUCCAAAGGAGUGACUCCCAAAGGAACAAGAAUUGACCAUAGGUUAUGGCUUGUGUUACAAUACACCGAUGUUGUCUUUGAGGCCAUCCACUGACGUCCUCACCCAUGGCAUAAGCAAGUUUUUCUGAAGGUCUCUCUUGUGCUCCUGCCUCCUGCCAUGAGAACAGCAAGUCCCAGGUAAGAACUAAUCCUUCUGCCUAACUCUCCAUAGGAGAAAACCUGAACUUGACCUACGUUCUGGAACAGAGCCACCCAGAUGACCCACAGACACUGGGAGAGAAAUGAAGACUUAUUGUUUUAGACUUUGAUAUUCUGGAAUUGAUUGCAGCAUCAUUACGGCAAAAGCUGACUAAUACAAUUCCAUUUGUUAUUCUAUUAAGUUCUUUUUGUUAAAAAAGUAUAUAACCAUUGUUGAAAAAUUAGAAAAUACAGAAAAUCAAAAUGAAGAAAAAAAUUGGGUAGGAAGACAGGCUCAAACAACUAUGAUGCAAUUACAUGUUUAUUUACAAUUGUGAUAAGUGCUAUAAAGGGAAAGUCUGUAUUCUAGGAUAAUAUUAAUAUUUAAAAAGAGGGCAUAGGCUAGGCAUGGUGGCUCAUGCCUAUAAUCCCAGCACUUUGGGAGGCCGAGGCGGACAGAUCACCUGAGGUCAGGAGUUUGAGACCACCCUGGCCAACAUGGUGAAAUUCCAUCUCUACUAAAAAUACAACAAUUAGCUGGGCGUGGUGGCACAUACUUGUAAUCCCAGCUGGUCGGGAGGCUGAGGCAGGAGAACCACUUGAACCCGGGAGGCGGAGGUCGCAGUGAGCCAAGAGCACACCACUGCACUCCAGCCUGGGCAACAGAGCGAGACUCCAUCUCAAAAAAAAAAAAAAAAAAAGAAGGCAUGAUAUAAUCUGGAAUCAGGAAAAACUUUCCAAAAGAAAUAAUGUUACGCAUAUCGUGUAUUAAAUACAUAAAAACUAUAAUGUUGCAUCUAUUAUAAUACACACAUACUUUUAUAUUACAAAUAGGUUAGUUCUUAUAUAUAUAUUUCUUAUACAUACUUCUCUCAUAUAUAAUGUAACAUGUAUAAGAGAACAUAUUACUGAAUUUAUUCUCUUCAAUGGACAAUAUAAAAUUAACAUCUUUCCAUAUUAGCAAAUAUGUUCUCACAUCAUCAUUUAUUUUAAUGCCUGUCUCAUAUUCCAGUGAUAUGUGUGGGCCAUGGUUGAUUCAACCCAUCCUCUGAUGUUGGACGUUUGAGUUGAUUUUCAUUUUUUGUCACUCUGAACAAUCUUGUAAUGAACAUUCUAGCAAGGACUCUAACCUGUUUGCUGAAGAGAAAUAAUUGUGGUGAAAAUGAGAAAAUUAUGUGCUGUGAAGCAAAAUUCUAUGACAUAUCCUGACCUUAUGUAUCCCCUCAGGAAGCAUAAUGGAAAUAUUUAUGUUUGAAAUAAAAUUUCUCAUGUACUUCCAGCUACACUCAGUGAGUCAUUCCUGAAGAUCCUUGGGGAAAAUUUAGACUAUGUUUCUUGGAUGAAGAUUGAUUGGUGGCAGACAGGGGCAGAACAUCAAGGGAGAUGAUAUAUAUGUAUAAAGUGGAGGAAACUAGACUAUUACUUCUGCUUUUUCAAGUCAAGAUGUGAUCUGCUGUCAUAAUAUUAUAUUGCUGGCUUGGCUUUUUUUUGUUUUUUUCUGUCAGUGUGGUUAUUGUUACUUCAUCUGUGGCCUGUUUCCAAAAGCAAUGAGUGAGCCCCCGCAAGAUAAUCACUAGAUUAUCUGGUUCUUUCAUGACUAAUAGGCCAGGGGAAUGUACUAAACAAACAGUUCAGCUCGAACGUGUUGCAGGGGAUUGAAACUGUCUGAAUGAAAAUAAAAUAUGAUAAAAUAAUAUAAUUCACAUGAUUCAUCUUCUGCAGGACAACCAAGUCUGACAUUCCUAUUCCAUAUAAGAAGUGGUAAUUUCACAGUGUACAUUCAGUAAGGAUAUAAAAUGUAAUUUUGGCAGGUUUCAUGGUAUAAAGUUAUAAUAUGGUUUUGGGGGUUUAUAAUAUGGAUGACUUUAUUUACCUUGUGGCUGACUAUGAGGUAAACUUGCAAAUAUGUGUCCAUAUUACAUUCAUCUACUAUGAGCAAAUACUUUCGGGUUGUGAACCCAAGGGAAGAAAGUGGUAAAAUGGCUUAUUUUGCCGCAUGAAUUUCAGUUUACUCGGGUAAUACGAACGUGGCAGGGGCACAUUUGUAAUUUAGGGAGUUAUAACAUCAGUGGUUACAUUUAAUUAAAUGACCAUCAACAUGGGAUUAUUUAGGAAGCAUUUCUUCUUCUUUUCGGUUAAACCUGGAUUGACUCACAUUUUAAAGCAUUUUUGUCCAGAAGAGUAAUGGAAUCCAACAACUCUCUGUUUUAAAUCAAUGACUUUGAAUCAGUGAGUGGUACUCAUAAGAAAAAAUACAAGCUAGUUUUUCAGGGGAAAGUAUUUCUUUCCUUUACUCAGAUAUUAGACUCUCGCUCUCAGAUGACACAUGGGGGUACAUUUCUUAUCUUCCAAUUUUCUUUGGAAAGGAUCAGAUCAGAAGAUGAGAAAACAAAUGUUCAGUGUCCACAGAAAUCCUGCUUCUUUUAAACAGUGAAAUUAUGGCUAUAAUGCUUUAUUCGGUGUUCAGUGCAAGUUUAACCCAGCUUUCUAAAUGGCGAUUUGGUGACAUUCAAACCGACAGCCAUGACAGGGGCUCAGAGAGGUGAAUGACCUCUCAGUCCUCUAAAAGGAAGCCUUUAUAUACCCAAGUUUACUGUCCUUUCAGAAAAUCGUCAGCCAAACGCACUUUAUUCUUUCAACAAAUGUGUACUGAAUGUCCCCCAAGUGUCUUUGUAGUCUCUGACUUUUUGAAGCUUAAGGUCUGAUGAGAGAGACAGAAAAUAUGCAGGUUUUUUAAAAAAAUGAAGAGUAAGUCUGUGAAAGCAGUAAAAGUAGAAUAUAGGAGUGGAGAAUGGGGCGGGGGGUGGCAUAAGAGGAAGAACAAAUUUAGACAGGGUGAGGAGGAAAGCCUCUCAGCUAAAGGCUGUGAAGGCAUCAGCCAUGAGCAUCAAUUGCUGUAUCCAUAGUACCUAUAACAGGACCCAACACAGAGUAGGAUCUCAAUAAAUACAUGUAGAAUGCACAAACGGACAGAUGUGUGAGUGAACAGCGCUCGGGCAGAGGAACUGGGCUGGAGAGCAGACAGGUGGCCAGUGGCACUGGAGCACUGUGGACAAGCAGAGAACAUGCUGAGAUGGGAGGGCAGACAGGCAGGUCGCACACAGGUUACGCAGCAGGUUUUGGGUCCUCUUGGUAAGAAGUUUGAGUUGUACAUGUCAUAGGAAGAUAUUGGAGACUUUUAAGAUGAGAGAAAUCUGAAUUUUCGCUUAAAAGAUUGUCUAAUAUUAUCCCAAAUAGCCAAAACAAUCUUCAAAAAGAAGAACAAAGCUGGAGGCCUCAUAUUUCUUUAUUUAUUUUAUUACAAAAUUGCAGUAAUCAAGACAGGGUAGUGCUGGCAUAAAGACAGACAUGUAGAACAGCGG
RNAcentral lists this long non-coding RNA (4356 nucleotides) under Homo sapiens (human). Its description in RNAcentral is "HSALNT0372886". Lineage: Eukaryota; Metazoa; Chordata; Mammalia; Primates; Hominidae. The record is from RNAcentral.